This 754-nucleotide ribosomal RNA is filed under the name uncultured bacterium. RNAcentral's name for it is "bacterial SSU rRNA". It matches the Rfam family "Bacterial small subunit ribosomal RNA", at positions 48 to 795 of the family's 1533-position model. The record is from RNAcentral.
UUAACACAUGCAAGUCGAGGGGCAUCAGGAAGAAAGCUUGCUUUCUUUGCUGGCGACCGGCGCACGGGUGAGUAACACGUAUCCAACCUGCCCUUUACUCGGGGAUAGCCUUUCGAAAGAAAGAUUAAUACCCGAUAGUAUAAUGAUUCCGCAUGGUUUCAUUAUUAAAGGAUUCCGGUAAAGGAUGGGGAUGCGUUCCAUUAGGUUGUUGGUGAGGUAACGGCUCACCAAGCCUUCGAUGGAUAGGGGUUCUGAGAGGAAGGUCCCCCACAUUGGAACUGAGACACGGUCCAAACUCCUACGGGAGGCAGCAGUGAGGAAUAUUGGUCAAUGGGCGCUAGCCUGAACCAGCCAAGUAGCGUGAAGGAUGAAGGCUCUAUGGGUCGUAAACUUCUUUUAUAUAAGAAUAAAGUGCAGUACGUAUACUGUUUUGUAUGUAUUAUAUGAAUAAGGAUCGGCUAACUCCGUGCCAGCAGCCGCGGUAAUACGGAGGAUCCGAGCGUUAUCCGGAUUUAUUGGGUUUAAAGGGAGCGUAGGUGGACUGGUAAGUCAGUUGUGAAAGUUUGCGGCUCAACCGUAAAAUUGCAGUUGAUACUGUCAGUCUUGAGUACAGUAGAGGUGGGCGGAAUUCGUGGUGUAGCGGUGAAAUGCUUAGAUAUCACGAAGAACUCCGAUUGCGAAGGCAGCUCACUGGACUGCAACUGACACUGAUGCUCGAAAGUGUGGGUAUCAAACAGGAUUAGAUACGGUAGUC